Molecule: ribosomal RNA, 497 nt
Filed under: uncultured bacterium
Lineage: Bacteria
Description: partial 16S ribosomal RNA
Rfam family: Bacterial small subunit ribosomal RNA
Source: RNAcentral
GAUGAACGCUGGCGGCGUGCCUAAUACAUGCAAGUCGAGCGAACGGACGAGAAGCUUGCUUCUCUGAUGUUAGCGGCGGACGGGUGAGUAACACGUGGAUAACCUACCUAUAAGACUGGGAUAACUUCGGGAAACCGGAGCUAAUACCGGAUGAUAUUUUGAACCGCAUGGUUCAAAAGUGAAAGACGGUCUUGCUGUCACUUAUAGAUGGAUCCGCGCUGCAUUAGCUAGUUGGUAAGGUAACGGCUUACCAAGGCAACGAUGCAUAGCCGACCUGAGAGGGUGAUCGGCCACACUGGAACUGAGACCCGGUCCAGACUCCUACGGGAGGCAGCAGUAGGGAAUCUUCCGCAAUGGGCGGAAGCCUGACGGAGCAACGCCGCGUGAGUGAUGAAGGUCUUCGGAUCGUAAAACUCUGUUAUUAGGGAAGAACAUAUGUGUAAGUAACUGUGCACAUCUUGACGGUACCUAAUCAGAAAGCCACGGCUAACUACGUG